Molecule: ribosomal RNA, 253 nt
Filed under: uncultured bacterium
Lineage: Bacteria
Description: partial 16S ribosomal RNA
Rfam family: Bacterial small subunit ribosomal RNA
Source: RNAcentral
UACAGAGGGGGCAAGCGUUAAUCGGAAUUACUGGGCGUAAAGCGCGCGUAGGCCGUCGAGUAAGUCGGAUGUGAAAUCCCCGGGCUUAACCUGGGAAUUGCAUUGGAUACUGCUUGACUAGAGUGUGGAAGAGGGAAGCGGAAUUUCCGGUGUAGCGGUGAAAUGCGUAGAUAUCGGAAGGAACACCAGUGGCGAAGGCGGCUUCCUGGUCCAACACUGACGCUGAGGCGCGAAAGCGUGGGGAGCGAACAGG